Molecule: ribosomal RNA, 212 nt
Filed under: uncultured bacterium
Lineage: Bacteria
Description: partial 16S ribosomal RNA
Rfam family: Bacterial small subunit ribosomal RNA
Source: RNAcentral
GUUAAGUCAGAUGUGAAAGCCCGGGGCUCAACCUCGGAAUUGCAUUUGAAACUGGCAAACUAGAGUACUGUAGAGGGGGUAGAAUUUCAGGUGUAGCGGUGAAAUGCGUAGAGAUCUGAAGGAAUACCGGUGGCGAAGGCGGCCCCCUGGACCAGAUACUGACACUCAGAUGCGAAAGCGUGGGGAGCAAACAGGAUUAGAUACCCUGGUAG